This 492-nucleotide ribosomal RNA is filed under the name uncultured bacterium. RNAcentral describes it as "partial 16S ribosomal RNA". It matches the Rfam family "Bacterial small subunit ribosomal RNA", at positions 29 to 507 of the family's 1533-position model. The record is from RNAcentral.
AGUGAACGCUGGCGGUAGGCCUAACACAUGCAAGUCGAACGGCAGCACAGUAAGAGCUUGCUCUUACGGGUGGCGAGUGGCGGACGGGUGAGGAAUACAUCGGAAUCUACUUUUUCGUGGGGGAUAACGUAGGGAAACUUACGCUAAUACCGCAUACGACCUACGGGUGAAAGCAGGGGAUCUUCGGACCUUGCGCGAUUGAAUGAGCCGAUGUCGGAUUAGCUAGUUGGCGGGGUAAAGGCCCACCAAGGCGACGAUCCGUAGCUGGUCUGAGAGGAUGAUCAGCCACACUGGAAGUGGGACACGGUCCAGACUCCUAAGGGAGGCAGCAGUGGGGAAUAUUGGACAGUGGGCGCAAGCCUGAUCCAGCCAUACCGCGUGGGUGAAGAAGGCCUUCGGGUUGUAAAGCCCUUUUGUUGGGAAAGAAAAGCAGCAGGUUAAGACCCCGCUGUUCUGACGGUACCCAAAGAAUAAGCACCGGCUAACUUCGUG